Molecule: ribosomal RNA, 254 nt
Filed under: uncultured bacterium
Lineage: Bacteria
Description: partial 16S ribosomal RNA
Rfam family: Bacterial small subunit ribosomal RNA
Source: RNAcentral
UACAGAGGUCUCAAGCGUUGUUCGGAUUCAUUGGGCGUAAAGGGUGUGUAGGUGGCGCCGUAAGUCGGGUGUGAAAAUUUCGGAGCUUAACUCCGAAACUGCAUUCGAUACUGCGGUGCUUGAGGACUGGAGAGGAGACUGGAAUUCAUGGUGUAGCAGUGAAAUGCGUAGAGAUCAUGAGGAAGACCAGUGGCGAAGGCGGGUCUCUGGACAGUUCCUGACACUGAGACACGAAGGCCAGGGGAGCAAACGGG